Molecule: ribosomal RNA, 468 nt
Filed under: uncultured bacterium
Lineage: Bacteria
Description: partial 16S ribosomal RNA
Rfam family: Bacterial small subunit ribosomal RNA
Source: RNAcentral
GACGAACGCUGGCGGCGUGCUUAACACAUGCAAGUCGAACGGAAAGGCCCUGCUUUUGUGGGGUGCUCGAGUGGCGAACGGGUGAGUAACACGUGAGUAACCUGCCCUUGACUUUGGGAUAACUUCAGGAAACUGGGGCUAAUACCGGAUAGGAGCUCCUGCUGCAUGGUGGGGGUUGGAAAGGUUCGGCGGUUGGGGAUGGACUCGCGGCUUAUCAGCUUGUUGGUGGGGUAGUGGCUUACCAAGGCUUUGACGGGUAGCCGGCCUGAGAUGGUGACCGGCCACAUUGGGACUGAGAUACGGCCCAGACUCCUACGGGAGGCAGCAGUGGGGAAUAUUGCACAAUGGGCGGAAGCCUGAUGCAGCAACGCCGCGUGCGGGAUGACGGCCUUCGGGUUGUAAACCGCUUUCGCCUGUGACGAAGCGUGAGUGACGGUAAUGGGUAAAGAAGCACCGGCUAACUACGUG